Molecule: ribosomal RNA, 280 nt
Filed under: uncultured Actinomycetales bacterium
Lineage: Bacteria; Bacillati; Actinomycetota; Actinomycetes; Actinomycetales
Description: partial 16S ribosomal RNA
Rfam family: Bacterial small subunit ribosomal RNA
Source: RNAcentral
CGAGAAAGCGGGGGCACUCCGUGAGUUAAGUGGCGACCGGGUGAGUAACACGUGACUAACCUACCCUGAAGUGGGGAACAACUCCGGGAAACCGGGGCUAAUACCGCAUGAUAUCGCGAGGGGAAGAUCCUUGUGAUCAAAGGAGAAAUUUGCUUUAGGAGGGGGUCGCGGCUGAUUAGUUAGUUGGUAGGGUAACGGCCUACCAAGACGAAGAUCAGUGGCCGGACUGAGAGGGCGCACGGCCACACUGGAACUGAAACACGGUCCAGACUCCUACGGG